GAUGAACGCUGGCGGCGUGCCUAACACAUGCAAGUCGAACGAAACUUCUCUACCACCGAGUGCUUGCAGUGACCGAAACGGGGGUGAGUCGCGAACGUAUGCGUAACACGAGGGCAACCUGCCCAAAAGAGGGGGAGAAUACUACGAAACAGGUGCUAAUACCGCAUAACCAUAGUUAGAGCAUGGCAACGAUGUAAAAGGUAGCUGUGCUACCGCAGUUGGAUGGGCGCGCGGCGGAUUAGCUAGUUGGUAGGGGAAAGGCUUACCAAGGCAAUGAUGCGUAGCCGAAUUGAGAGGAUGAUCGGCCACACUGGGACUGAGACACGGCCCAUACGCCUACGGGAGGCAGCAGUAGGGAAUCGUGCACAAUGGGCGAAAGCCUGAUGGAGCAACGCCGCGUGGGUGAAGAAGGUCUUCGGAUCGUAAAUCCCUGUUGUUAGGGAGGAAAGUGCGUGAGAGUAAGUGUUCACGUUUCGACGGUAUCUAACCAGAAAGCCACUGCUAACUUCGUG
RNAcentral lists this ribosomal RNA (512 nucleotides) under uncultured bacterium. RNAcentral describes it as "partial 16S ribosomal RNA". It matches the Rfam family "Bacterial small subunit ribosomal RNA", at positions 28 to 507 of the family's 1533-position model. The record is from RNAcentral.